GAGUGCUAAGAUCCGUAGUCGAAAGGGAAACAGCCCAGACCACCAGCUAAGGUCCCAAAAUAAUUGUUAAGUGGAAAAGGAUGUGGGGUUGCACAGACAACUAGGAUGUUAGCUUAGAAGCAGCUAUUCAUUCAAAGAGUGCGUAAUAGCUCACUAGUCGAGUGACCCUGCGCCGAAAAUGUACCGGGGCUAAAACAAUUUACCGAAGCUGUGGAUACCUUUAUAGGUAUGGUAGGAGAGCGUUCUAUGUGUGAUGAAGGUAUACCGUGAGGAGUGCUAAGAUCCGUAGUCGAAAGGGAAACAGCCCAGACCACCAGCUAAGGUCCCAAAAUAAUUGUUAAGUGGAAAAGGAUGUGGGGUUGCACAGACA
RNAcentral lists this ribosomal RNA (370 nucleotides) under Shigella flexneri. RNAcentral's name for it is "bacterial LSU rRNA". The stretch from base 1 to 300 matches the Rfam family "Bacterial large subunit ribosomal RNA", at positions 993 to 1294 of the family's 2925-position model. Lineage: Bacteria; Pseudomonadati; Pseudomonadota; Gammaproteobacteria; Enterobacterales; Enterobacteriaceae. The record is from RNAcentral.